RNAcentral lists this ribosomal RNA (427 nucleotides) under uncultured Rhodanobacter sp. RNAcentral describes it as "bacterial SSU rRNA". It matches the Rfam family "Bacterial small subunit ribosomal RNA", at positions 353 to 772 of the family's 1533-position model. The record is from RNAcentral. Lineage: Bacteria; Pseudomonadati; Pseudomonadota; Gammaproteobacteria; Lysobacterales; Rhodanobacteraceae.
AGUGGGGAAUAUUGGACAAUGGGCGAAAGCCUGAUCCAGCAAUGCCGCGUGUGUGAAGAAGGCCCUCGGGUUGUAAAGCACUUUUAUCAGGAACGAAAUACCACGGGCUAAUACCUUGUGGGGCUGACGGUACCUGAGGAAUAAGCACCGGCUAACUUCGUGCCAGCAGCCGCGGUAAUACGAAGGGUGCAAGCGUUAAUCGGAAUUACUGGGCGUAAAGGGUGCGUAGGCGGUUGUUUAAGUCUGUCGUGAAAUCCCCGGGCUCAACCUGGGAAUGGCGAUGGAUACUGGGCAGCUAGAGUGUGUCAGAGGAUGGUGGAAUUCCCGGUGUAGCGGUGAAAUGCGUAGAGAUCGGGAGGAACAUCAGUGGCGAAGGCGGCCAUCUGGGACAACACUGACGCUGAAGCACGAAAGCGUGGGGAGCAAA